CCGCUNGAACUUAAGCAUAUCAAUAAGCGGAGGAAAAGAAACCAACAGGGAUUGCCUCAGUAACGGCGAGUGAAGCGGCAACAGCUCAAAUUUGAAAUCUGGCCUCCUGGUCCGAGUUGUAAUUUGCAGAGGAUGCUUCGGGCGCGGUGCCUUCCAAGUCCCCUGGAACGGGGCGCCGGAGAGGGUGAGAGCCCCGUACGGUUGGCGGCCAAGCCUGUGUGAAGCUCCUUCGACGAGUCGAGUAGUUUGGGAAUGCUGCUCUAAGCGGGAGGUAGACCCCUUCUAAAGCUAAAUAUUGGCCAGAGACCGAUAGCGCACAAGUAGAGUGAUCGAAAGAUGAAAAGCACUUUGAAAAGAGGGUUAAACAGCACGUGAAAUUGUUGAAAGGGAAGCGCUUGAGACCAGACGUGCGCCGGGGUGCUCAGCGGGCGUUCUCGCCCGUGCACUCGCCCCGGCGCAGGCCAGCGUCGGUUUGGGCGGGGGGAUAAAGGCGUCUGGAAUGUGGCUCCCCCGGGAGUGUUAUAGCCAGGCGUGCCAUGCCUCCGCCCGGACCGAGGUACGCGAUCUGCAAGGACGCCGGCGUAAUGGUCCCCAGCGACCCGUCUUGAAAAACACGGAA
This 619-nucleotide ribosomal RNA is filed under the name Chloridium sp. RNAcentral's name for it is "partial large subunit ribosomal RNA". It matches the Rfam family "Eukaryotic large subunit ribosomal RNA", at positions 25 to 664 of the family's 3401-position model. Lineage: Eukaryota; Fungi; Ascomycota; Sordariomycetes; Chaetosphaeriales; Chaetosphaeriaceae. The record is from RNAcentral.